CCUACGGGUGGCAGCAGUGGGGAAUAUUGCACAAUGGGGGAAACCCUGAUGCAGCAACGCCGCGUGAGUGAAGAAGUAUUUCUGUAUGUAAAGCUCUAUCAGCCGGGGAGAAGAUGACGGUACCUGACCACUACGCCCCGGCUACCUACGUGCCAGCCGCCGCGGUAAUACGUAGGGGGCAAGCGUUAUCCGGAUUUACUGGGUGUAAAGGGAGCGCAGACGGCAGUGCAAGUCUGGAGUGAAAGCCCGGGGCCCAACCCCGGAACUGCUCUGGAAACUGGGCGGCUAGAGUAAUGGAGGGGCAGGCGGAAUGCGUAGUGUAGCGGUGAAAUGCGUAGAUAUUAGGAGGAACACCAGUGGCGAAGGCGGCCUGCUGGACAGUAACUGACGUUGAGGCUCGAAAGCGUGGGGAGCAAACAGGAUUAGAUACCCCUGUAGUC
Molecule: ribosomal RNA, 440 nt
Filed under: uncultured bacterium
Lineage: Bacteria
Description: partial 16S ribosomal RNA
Rfam family: Bacterial small subunit ribosomal RNA
Source: RNAcentral